RNAcentral lists this ribosomal RNA (301 nucleotides) under uncultured bacterium. Its description in RNAcentral is "partial 16S ribosomal RNA". It matches the Rfam family "Bacterial small subunit ribosomal RNA", at positions 509 to 807 of the family's 1533-position model. The record is from RNAcentral.
CAGUAGCCGCGGUAAUACGAAGGGUGCAAGCGUUACUCGGAAUUACUGGGCGUAAAGCGUGCGUAGGUGGUGGUUUAAGUCCGUUGUGAAAGCCCUGGGCUCAACCUGGGAAUUGCAGUGGAUACUGGGUCACUAGAGUGUGGUAGAGGAUAGUGGAAUUUCCGGUGUAGCAGCGAAAUGCGUAGAUAUGCGGAGGAACACCGAUGGCGAAGGCAGCCCCCUGGGCCAACACUGACGCUCAUGCACGAAAGCGUGGGGAGCAAACAGGAUUAGAUACCCCAGUAGUCCCUGUCUCUUAUAC